AUCUGGUUGAUCCUGCAGUAGUCAUAUGCUUGUCUCAAAGAUUAAGCCAUGCAUGUCUAAGUACAUACUUUUUACAUAGUGAAACCGCAGAUGGCUCAUUAAAUCAGUUAUGGUUCAUUUAGAUCGUACAAUCCUACUUGGAUAACUGUGGUAAUUCUAGAGCUAAUACAUGAAGCGCAGCUCUGACCUCGCGGAAAGAGCGCGUUUAUUGGAUCAAAACCAGUCGGGUUCGCAAGGGCCCGUCGGUUGGUGAGACUGGAUAACUUUAUGCUGAUCGCACGACCUCGCGCCAGCAUUAUCUCUUCAAAUGUCUGCCCUAUCAACUUUCGAUGGUACGUGAUAUGCCUACCAUGGUUGUAACGGGUAACGGGGAAUCAGGGUUCGAUUCCGGAGAGGGAGCAUGAGAACGGCUACCACAUCCAAGGAAGGCAGCAGGCGCGCAAAUUACCCACCCUGGCACGGGGAGGUAGUGACGAAAAAUAACAAUACGGGACUCUUUCAGGCCCCGUAAUGGAAUAGUACCACUAGAAAACCCUUUAACGAGGAUCUAAUGGAGAGCAAGUCUGGUGCCAACAGCCGCCCGGUAAUUCCAGCUCAAUAGCGUAUAUUAAAGUUAUUUACCCAGUUAAAAAGCUCGUAGUUGGAUCUCGGGUCCAGGCUUUGCGGUCGACGCCUGUCGAUUUACUACUCGUCUGAUACUACCUCGGUUUUUAUACCUUGGUGCUCUUGACUGAAGUGUCUCAGGUGGCGAACGUUUGCUUUGAAAAAAUUAGGGAGUGUUCAAAGCGAGCAAUAUCGCCUGAAUAAUGGUGCAUGGAAUAAUGGAAUAGGACCUCGGUUCUAUUUGCUGGUUUUCGGGCUCGAGGUAAUGAUUAAGAGGGACUGACAGGGGCAUUCGUAUUACGGUGUUAGAGGUGAAAUUCUUGGAUCGCCGUAAGACGAACCACUGCGAAAACGUUGCCAACAUGUUUUCAUUAGUCAAGAACGAAAGUCAGAGGUUCGAAGACGAUCAGAUACCGUCGUAGUUCUGACCAUAAACGAUGCAACUAACGAUCCGCCAGAGUUGCUUCAAUGACUCGACAGGCAGCCCCCGGGAAACCAAAGUUUUGGUUCCGGGGGAAGUAUGGUUACAAAGCUGAAACUUAAAGGAAUUGACGGAAGGGCACCACCAGAAUUGGGCCUGCGGCUUAAUUGACUCAACACGGGAAAACUCACCCGGCCCGGACACUGAGGAUUGACAGAUUGAGAGCUCUUUCUUGAUUCGGUGGGUGGUGGUGCAUGGCCGUUCUUAGUUGGUGGAGCGAUUUGUCUGGUUAAUUCCGAUAACGAACGAGACUCUAGCCUACUAAAUAGUUCGCCGAUCCCCCAUUUGCGUCAGCGCGCUUCUUAGAGGGACAAGUGGCAUGUUUAGCCACACACGAGAUUGAGCAAUAACAGGUCUGUGAUGCCCUUAGAUGUUCGGGGCCGCACGCGCGCUACUGAAGGGAAUCAGCGCGUGUCUCUGCCCUUACCUGGAAAGAUUCGGGUAACCCGUGAACCUCCUUCGUGCUAGGGAUUGGGGCUUGUAAUUCUUCCCCAUGAACGAGGAAUUCCCAGUAAGCGCGAGUCAUAAACUCGCGUUGAUUACGUCCCUGCCCUUUGGCACACCGCCCGUCGCUACUACCGAUUGGGCGUUUUAGUGAAGCGCCUCCGAUUGGACCCGGAAAUGGUUGGCAACAACCGUACCGGUGUGCCGAAAAGACGCGCAAACUUGAACGCCUAGAGGAAGUAAAGUCGUAAAUAAGGGUUCCGUAGGUGAACCUGCGGAAGGAUCAUU
RNAcentral lists this ribosomal RNA (1816 nucleotides) under Mytilus coruscus. RNAcentral describes it as "SSU rRNA". It matches the Rfam family "Eukaryotic small subunit ribosomal RNA". The record is from RNAcentral. Lineage: Eukaryota; Metazoa; Mollusca; Bivalvia; Mytilida; Mytilidae.